UGGUUCUGGCAUCGAUGAAGAACGCAGCGAAAUGCGAUAAGUAAUGCGAAUUGCAGAAUUUCCGUGAGUCAUCGAAUCUUUGAACGCACAUUGCGCCCUUUGGUAUUCCGAAGGGCAUACCUGUUCGAGCGUCAUUAUCCUUCCCUCUAGACCCCUUGGGGUUCGGGCGUUGGAGUCCACGUCGGGUCAAACCAACUGGCUCCCAAAAGUAAUGACGGCGUCUGUGGGACCCUCGGUACACUGAGUUCUUUCGGGAGCACGUAUCGAGUCGCAAGGACCCUCCAGGCCGGUCACAACCUCUAUUUUUCCUCAGGUUGACCUCGGAUCAGGUAGGAAUACCCGCUGA
RNAcentral lists this unclassified non-coding RNA (346 nucleotides) under uncultured fungus. RNAcentral describes it as "partial contains 5.8S ribosomal RNA and internal transcribed spacer 2". The stretch from base 1 to 134 matches the Rfam family "5.8S ribosomal RNA", at positions 22 to 154 of the family's 154-position model. The record is from RNAcentral. Lineage: Eukaryota; Fungi.